GAUGAACGCUGGCGGCGUGCCUAAUACAUGCAAGUCGAGCGAACGGACGAGAAGCUUGCUUUUCUGAUGUUAGCGGCGGACGGGUGAGUAACACGUGGAUAACCUACCUAUAAGACUGGGAUAACUUCGGGAAACCGGAGCUAAUACCGGAUAAUAUUUUGAACCGCAUGGUUCAAAAGUGAAAGACGGUCCUGCUGUCACUUAUAGAUGGAUCCGCGCUGCAUUAGCUAGUUGGUAAGGUAACGGCUUACCAAGGCAACGAUGCAUAGCCGACCUGAGAGGGUGAUCGGCCACACUGGAACUGAGACACGGUCCAGACUCCUACGGGAGGCAGCAGUAGGGAAUCUUCCGCAAUGGGCGAAAGCCUGACGGAGCAACGCCGCGUGAGUGAUGAAGGUCUUCGGAUCGUAAAACUCUGUUAUUAGGGAAGAACAUAUGUGUAAGUAACUGUGCACAUCUUGACGGUACCUAAUCAGAAAGCCGCGGCUAACUACGUG
Molecule: ribosomal RNA, 497 nt
Filed under: uncultured bacterium
Lineage: Bacteria
Description: partial 16S ribosomal RNA
Rfam family: Bacterial small subunit ribosomal RNA
Source: RNAcentral